This 76-nucleotide transfer RNA is filed under the name Candidatus Izimoplasma sp. ZiA1. Its description in RNAcentral is "Candidatus Izimaplasma sp. ZiA1 tRNA-His". It matches the Rfam family "tRNA". From Rfam's summary of the family: Transfer RNA (tRNA) molecules are approximately 80 nucleotides in length. Their secondary structure includes four short double-helical elements and three loops (D, anti-codon, and T loops). Further hydrogen bonds mediate the characteristic L-shaped molecular structure. tRNAs have two regions of fundamental functional importance: the anti-codon, which is responsible for specific mRNA codon recognition, and the 3' end, to which the tRNAs corresponding amino acid is attached (by aminoacyl-tRNA synthetases). tRNAs cope with the degeneracy of the genetic code in two manners: having more than one tRNA (with a specific anti-codon) for a particular amino acid; and 'wobble' base-pairing, i.e. permitting non-standard base-pairing at the 3rd anti-codon position. Lineage: Bacteria; Bacillati; Mycoplasmatota; Mollicutes; Candidatus Izemoplasmatales; Candidatus Izemoplasmataceae. The record is from RNAcentral. RNAcentral also lists the same sequence under 1 other name.
GCGAUUGUGGCGAAGUGGUUAACGCACCGGAUUGUGGCUCCGGCAUUCGUGAGUUCGAUUCUCAUCAGUCGCCCCA